Non-coding RNA from Glossina pallidipes, 87 nucleotides. The record is from Rfam. Lineage: Eukaryota; Metazoa; Arthropoda; Insecta; Diptera; Glossinidae.
GGAUAGUUUUUAGUACGUAAGGGCCAUGGAUGGCGAAUCGUGCAUGCUGCUAUUAAGAACCAGCAUCUUUUGAAGAUCUUCUACACC